Non-coding RNA from Sturnus vulgaris (Common starling), 85 nucleotides. Lineage: Eukaryota; Metazoa; Chordata; Aves; Passeriformes; Sturnidae. The record is from RefSeq and is a predicted model, not a curated record.
CUGUGAGAAGUCCACAGAAAAGGCAUGAAAAGCUUUUAAUAAAGGACUGAUGAUGGUGUCAGUCCAGUCUGUCUCAACAUAAUUA